RNAcentral lists this unclassified non-coding RNA (1450 nucleotides) under Hevea brasiliensis (rubber tree). Lineage: Eukaryota; Viridiplantae; Streptophyta; Magnoliopsida; Malpighiales; Euphorbiaceae. The record is from RNAcentral.
AUAUAUUAGGCACUUUAUCCUUAUUUUGUUGAAAAAACAAAGGAUCAACAAUGUCUUUCCCUCACAUAAUUCGCAGCGCCAUUCGAAGCACAUCAUCAAAGAUUGCACUUUUAGCAAGAUCAACGACCCCUUUCACUAAUCGAUCCUUUUGUUCAAGUUUUGAAUCGGAGAAGAAUAGUACAGCACCAUCAGAGGCCUCUUACUACCAUCUAAGUGGUGGUCCUUCUCAUAUGCGUGCUGCUGUGUUUUGGGAACCAGGCAAACCCCUCACCUUUGAAGAUUUCCAUAUGCCUCGACCUAAAGCUAAUGAAGUUCUCAUCAAAACUAAAGCUUGUGGGGUCUGCCACUCUGACCUGCAUGUAAUAAAGGGUGAACUUCCAUUCGCUAGCCCUUGUGUUGUGGGGCAUGAGAUAACUGGUGAAGUGGUUGAACACGGACAGCUCUCAGACAGUAAAAUCAUUGAAAGGUUUCCUGUGGGAUCUCAAGUUGUUGGAGCUUUCAUCAUGCCUUGUGGUAGCUGUUCUUUCUGCUCUAAGGGUCAAGAUGACUUAUGUGAGGAUUUCUUUGCUUACAACCGAGCGAAGGGAACCCUUUAUGAUGGGGAAACGCGACUGUUCCUCCGUAAUAGUGGUAAGCCGGUGUAUAUGUAUAGCAUGGGAGGUCUAGCUGAAUACUGUGUAGUUCCUGCACAUGCAUUGGCUGUUCUACCAAAUUCAUUACCAUACACAGAAUCCGCCAUUUUAGGAUGUGCAGUUUUUACUGCCUAUGGGGCUAUGGCUCAUGCUGCUGAGGUGCGCCCAGGUGAUGCUAUUGCUGUGAUUGGUAUAGGAGGUGUUGGCUCAAGCUGUCUGCAAAUAGCAAGAGCAUUUGGGGCGUCAGAGAUUAUUGCUGUAGAUGUUCAAGAUGAGAAAUUGCAGAAAGCUAAAUUCCUUGGAGCCACUCAUUGUGUAAAUGCAUCAAAGGUGGAUGCAGUGAAGACAAUCAAGGACAUCACGGGAGGCUCUGGUGUUGACGUAGCUGUUGAAGCUUUGGGAAGACCACAAACAUUCUUACAAUGUGUGCAAAGCGUUCGCGAUGGAGGCAAAGCUGUGAUGAUUGGACUUACACUAUCUGGUGUUAAGGGGGAGGUCGAUAUCAACCACCUAGUGCGACGACAGAUAAAAGUAAUUGGCUCCUAUGGAGCCAGAGCAAGACAAGAUCUCCCUAAGCUGAUUAAACUAGCCGAGAGUGGCAUAUUCAAUCUAUCUGCUGCUGUUUCAAGGACCUGCAAAUUUGAAGACGCUCCACAGGCAUACAAAGAUCUUGAUCAGGGAACCAUUGCUGGACGCGCUGUUGUUGAAAUAAUGUAAAUUUGAUACUUACAUCACUCAUUUUAACAUUCAUGUGAACUUCUAUUUCUGGUGAUCUACUAGCGCUAGCAAACGUUACUGUUGGCGUUAAAUGAAACAAA